RNAcentral lists this ribosomal RNA (497 nucleotides) under uncultured bacterium. Its description in RNAcentral is "partial 16S ribosomal RNA". It matches the Rfam family "Bacterial small subunit ribosomal RNA", at positions 28 to 507 of the family's 1533-position model. The record is from RNAcentral.
GAUGAACGCUGGCGGCGUGCCUAAUACAUGCAAGUCGAGCGAACGGACGAGAAGCUUGCUUCUCUGAUGUUAGCGGCGGACGGGUGAGUAACACGUGGAUAACCUACCUAUAAGACUGGGAUAACUUCGGGAAACCGGAGCUAAUACCGGAUAAUAUUUUGAACCGCAUGGUUCAAAAGUGAAAGACGGUCUUGCUGUCACUUAUAGAUGGAUCCGCGCUGCAUUGGCUAGUUGGUAAGGUAACGGCUUACCAAGGCAACGAUGCAUAGCCGACCUGAGAGGGUGAUCGGCCACACUGGAACUGAGACACGGUCCAGACUCCUACGGGAGGCAGCAGUAGGGAAUCUUCCGCAAUGGGCGAAAGCCUGACGGAGCAACGCCGCGUGAGUGACGAAGGUCUUCGGAUCGUAAAACUCUGUUAUUAGGGAAGAACAUAUGUGUAAGUAACUGUGCACAUCUUGACGGUACCUAAUCAGAAAGCCACGGCUAACUACGUG